UGGGGAAUAUUGCGCAAUGGGCGGAAGCCUGACGCAGCGACGCCGCGUGGGGGAUGACGGCCUUCGGGUUGUAAACCUCUUUCAGCAGGGACGAAGCGAAAGUGACGGUACCUACUAAAGAAGCACCGGCCAACUACGUGCCAGCAGCCGCGGUAAUACGUAGGGUGUGAGCGUUGUCCGGAAUUAUUGGGCGUAAAGGGCUCGUAGGCGGUUUGUCGCGUCGGGAGUGAAAACCAGGUGCUUAACACCUGGCUUGCUUUCGAUACGGGCAGACUAGAGGUAUGCAGGGGAGAACGGAAUUCCUGGUGUAGCGGUGAAAUGCGCAGAUAUCAGGAGGAACACCGGUGGCGAAGGCGGUUCUCUGGGCAUUAACUGACGCUGAGGAGCGAAAGCAUGGGGAGCGAACAGGAUUAGAUACC
Molecule: ribosomal RNA, 419 nt
Filed under: uncultured bacterium
Lineage: Bacteria
Description: bacterial SSU rRNA
Rfam family: Bacterial small subunit ribosomal RNA
Source: RNAcentral